Long non-coding RNA from Stegodyphus dumicola, 542 nucleotides. RefSeq lists it as uncharacterized. NCBI's taxonomy places the organism in Eukaryota, Metazoa, Arthropoda, Arachnida, Araneae, Eresidae. The record is from RefSeq and is a predicted model, not a curated record.
UAUCUAUACAUUUUUUUCCACUCUAAUGACGCACCUGAAAUGAGAUCUUGUUAAUAUUCCAGAUAUGUAAGAUUCAGAUUGCAGUUGGGAUUUAUGAAACUCCACAGAUUGAAUACGUUUGGACCACAGCAGUAUCACAUUCGCUGUGAGGGUAGACAUCCGAAACUUUACCAGAAGACAACGAACGUGGAAACAGAGUGAAAACAUACCUCUCCGACGAACUGGUACAGGACUGGCUAUUAGAUGAAACACUGCAUAAUUCGCCAGCGCAUCUUUGGUGGUGAACAUUGUUUGUGUGCGGAACUAUACUGUAAAACCCGUUUCCGUGUUGAAGAAUACGUAAUGCAACAAAACAUGUAUAUAGGGGCUUUUCUGAAAGGCGACAGUUUUUACCUUUCAUGAAAUGAAUGCAUAUUAAAGCAAAAAAUGUAACUAUUAUGAACGUUAAUGUUUCAUAUUACAUAUUUAAAUGCUAUGAUACGCAGCUAUCACUCUUUAGAGUAUUAUUACAUAAAUUCAAUUUUGUAACUAUAAAUUGUAAA